GGAUGGGUGGCUGAGUGGUCUAAAGCAACGGUCUUGAAAACCGUCACCUGGGUAACUGGGUCGUGAGUUCGAAUCUCACCCCAUCCG
RNAcentral lists this transfer RNA (87 nucleotides) under Patescibacteria group bacterium. RNAcentral describes it as "tRNA-Ser". It matches the Rfam family "tRNA". From Rfam's summary of the family: Transfer RNA (tRNA) molecules are approximately 80 nucleotides in length. Their secondary structure includes four short double-helical elements and three loops (D, anti-codon, and T loops). The record is from RNAcentral.